GUGAAAUGAUGAUGAAGUUUAUCCAUUCUCUGAGUGUGCUGCUGUGCCCUUCCUGCAGUUCUCAGCUCCUGUUCUAGGAACUGAGUUAUGUAACCUCCAGAUGCCCUCCAGAUUUGCAGUGUUCUACUGUAGAUGGUAGGUGUGUGUGGUGGUCUUACUAGUAGGAAGGGAUAGUGUCAGCAGAGAUGGAACCCUAUCUCUUUAGGGUCCCAUCUUGCCAAGACGAAUGACUGGUGUCUGAUCAC
Phascolarctos cinereus (koala) is the source of this 245-nucleotide small nucleolar RNA. NCBI's taxonomy places the organism in Eukaryota, Metazoa, Chordata, Mammalia, Diprotodontia, Phascolarctidae. The record is from Ensembl.